CAUCUCUACUUUCUAUUUCUUUCAUUUUGUGACGCGGCAGAUCCUUGGACCGGAAAAUUUUGGCUCUUGUUCGAUUCUUCCUUACUAUUUUACCAAAAAAUCUUAUUGAAAGGAUGACGUACCGGUAUGGAAAGAAUCGACUUUCGGCAAGAUACUUUCUAUAACAGUUGAGCCGAAACGUCCCAGCUUUGAAGAGAAUCGCAAACUCAUUUUGUUUCCCGAAAUCAUUGGCAAUGUGGUUUGGUUUCGGUUUAUGCAAUGGAGUGCAGAAAGAUGUCUGCAAGAGGCAGAUGGUUUGACGUGAAAUUUUGUAAUCAUUUUAAUGUAUAACUAAAACUCAAAGCAAAAUGAUGUCUUUUUGUUAAAUAAAUGUUAUGAAUGAAGAUAUUG
Long non-coding RNA from Malaya genurostris, 390 nucleotides. RefSeq lists it as uncharacterized. The transcript has 2 exons. The record is from RefSeq and is a predicted model, not a curated record. NCBI's taxonomy places the organism in Eukaryota, Metazoa, Arthropoda, Insecta, Diptera, Culicidae.